Molecule: ribosomal RNA, 482 nt
Filed under: uncultured bacterium
Lineage: Bacteria
Description: partial 16S ribosomal RNA
Rfam family: Bacterial small subunit ribosomal RNA
Source: RNAcentral
AUUGAACGCUGGCGGCAUGCUUUACACAUGCAAGUCGAACGGUAACAGCACUUCGGUGGCUGACGAGUGGCGAACGGGUGAGUAAUACAUCGGAACGUGCCUAGUAGUGGGGGAUAACUACUCGAAAGAGUAGCUAAUACCGCAUGAGAUCUAAGGAUGAAAGCAGGGGACCUUCGGGCCUUGCGCUACUAGAGCGGCUGAUGGCAGAUUAGGUAGUUGGUGGGAUAAAAGCUUACCAAGCCGACGAUCUGUAGCUGGUCUGAGAGGACGACCAGCCACACUGGGACUGAGACACGGCCCAGACUCCUACGGGAGGCAGCAGUGGGGAAUUUUGGACAAUGGGCGCAAGCAUGAUCCAGCAAUGCCGCGUGCAGGAUGAAGGCCUUCGGGUUGUAAACUGCUUUUGUACGGAACGAAAAGCCCUCUUCUAAUACAGGAGGGUCAUGACGGUACCGUAAGAAUAAGCACCGGCUAACUACGUG